Schizosaccharomyces pombe (fission yeast) is the source of this 642-nucleotide non-coding RNA. The record is from the annotation of a GenBank genome assembly. NCBI's taxonomy places the organism in Eukaryota, Fungi, Ascomycota, Schizosaccharomycetes, Schizosaccharomycetales, Schizosaccharomycetaceae.
UAGCAAAUUGUCGGAAUAGAAUCGAGAACAAUAUUGCUCAAUGUUGGGCUGGAGUGCAGGAUCAUUAAUUUGUCGUAAAUAUUGAAUUUUCAGGCGGACAACAGUUUUUUGCAUCUCUACCAUGUAACAGGCCCGAUAACCUAUUUAAUCAUUAGAGAUUGAACUCGAAAAUCUUGAUCAACUUACCAUCAAUAGCACUAUCAAGCAACUGAAUGACAAACAUUCGUGAAGGCUGCAAAAGGUCAAGAUGUUUAAUCUGCAAAGAAGCAAAUGCAUGAAAUGCUAAUGCAAGUAAUGGUUUGUUAUCCGCUGCAAUUAUGUCAGGGAUUAGUGAAUCUAAUAGAUCGAUAGCUGUAAAACAAUCCAGUUCCCCAAUCAAGCACAAAGUGCAUAAUCCUCUCAGAAGAUACAAUCUUAAAUAGUUUGAUGAGGCCAUUUGAAUUAUUUCCAGCAAUUCAAAAACAGCUCGAUUUGACAUUUCAGUCCUCUAAACACUCACAUUAGCAUAAGCCUAAAAUCAGCCUUCACCUUACCAUAUAAAUGUCAACCUUUAAAAACAUCAACUGCAGCACCCAUUCAAUCGCCAGUUUUUCCGGUUCUUCCAAUAAUUUAUCAAUUCCUUCAAUGGCCUAGUAACACGUU